GGCCUCACUUCUGUAGCACUUAUAACAACAGUGGAAUAUUACAGAGAAGAUUAGCAUAGCUCCUGUGCAAAAAUGACUUACAAAUUUGUAAAGUUGCCAUGUUUUU
Molecule: small nuclear RNA, 106 nt
Organism: Diceros bicornis minor
Lineage: Eukaryota; Metazoa; Chordata; Mammalia; Perissodactyla; Rhinocerotidae
Source: RefSeq, a predicted model, not a curated record